AAUUGUCAUGGUCCACACACACCUGAUGGGUCACGACAGGCAGUAAAAAAUGAAAGAAAAAAAAUAAACUUUCUGUGAAAUCUUCCAUGUGUACAAUAAAAUCGGAAUUCUUCAGAACAAUACAUAAUAGAGGGGCUCUGUACUUAGGGGUGUAUGUGAUGGAUAUUGUUUGGUUACGAUAUGUCAAAUAGCUGCUUACUAGCUCCCAUUCACACAGGAUUCCAAGAGAUUCUCAUUCCUCCUUGUAGCCACCGUGAAGGUUAAAUAUAGCUUUAUUUAUGAAAGGACCUUGACGAUGGUCCUGCAGUGAUAGCUAUGCCUGAGAUGAACAUUGAGCCAUCUGGAGACACAAAUUAUGAAGGAGCAGACAGAGGUUUGUGAGUAGCGUCUUGUCAUAGUUUGCAUAUUUUCACCAUACCCUAUACAUUCUUCUGGAGGAAAAGUAUAUUAUUCCCUGACAUGACUUGCUGCUUUUUCAAACAUCAACCCAUACUAAUCGUACCAGUUGUGCAUGUUUUUGGCAGAAUACAGCACUAUACACCUCUGUCUUCUAAGAAUUGUUUCUUGUUGGGCAGCUGUUUUGAACACUGAGGUCAGAGUAGAUUCUGUCCAAGAAAACAGCCUUUACACAUGGCUUUCUCAGCAAUGAUCAUUGUGUACGGUGUUUCUGUUAACAAACGAGUUUCCAGAUCUUUUCAUUACGCCUUUUACUUCUAGGGAUUUUGAAUCCUGCCAAAACAGAAAGAGAAGCUCAGAGGAAUCCAUGAGUUCAGAGUUUCAUUUGUUCGGAGAAAGGAAGCAACAUGUCAACAGCUGGGAAUGUUUUCUUCCACAUUAAGGGCUGGCUAUAAAAUAAUUGGAUAAAAUACUGGGUCAGUGAGUCCGAGUAACAUGUGGGACUGAGAGACACCAUACAUUGAAACAGUGUUCAAACAGCAGCCUUUAAAGGGUUGGUUUUUUUUACAGUCAGCAGCCUCACUAAAUGUUUUAUUAUAGUAAAUCAUGAACUGGGUAGGGUUUGCCCCAUGCCUAUGAUUCUCUAUGACAUACAACCAGUGGCGUACCUACCACGGUUGCACGGGCCACUUGAAUACCUUCUGGGUGGUGCACAGCACACCGGCCCAGGUCGGCAGUUCCCGGGGGUCUGGCAGGAGGAGCGGUUAGAGCACUUCUUAUCAGACCAGGAACCACGGCAGAGAAGCAGGCACAGGAGGGGGGAGAGAGGGAGGGUAUGGACACAUGGAAGGGAGGGGGAGAGAGGUAGGAAUGGGACACAUGGAGGGGAGGGGAUAGAGGGAGGGUAUGGGACACAUGGAAGGGAGGGGAGGAGGGAGAGAGGAUAUGGGACAUAUGGAAGUGAGAGGGAGAGAGGGAAGAAUGGGACAUAUGGAGGGGAGGGGAUAGAGGGAGGGUAUGGAACACAUGGAGGGGAGGAGGGAGAGAGGAUAUGGGAAAUAUGGAAGUGAGAGGGAGAGAGGGAAGAAUGGGACACAUGAAGGGGAGGGGGUAGAGAGGGAGAGUAUGAGACACAUGAGGGGGAGAGGGAGAGAGGGAGGGUAGGGCACACAUGGAGGGUAGGGGGUAGAGAGGGAGCAUAUGGGACACAUGAAAGGGAGGGGGAGAAAGGGAGGGUAUGGGAC
Molecule: long non-coding RNA, 1640 nt
Filed under: Pelobates cultripes (western spadefoot toad)
Lineage: Eukaryota; Metazoa; Chordata; Amphibia; Anura; Pelobatidae
Source: RNAcentral